GGCUCUGCUCCCUUUGCUCCUCCCCCUUCCCUGUGUGUCUGAGGGUGCGGCCUCCAUUCUCCUCACCUGCUGCCUGCUGUCUCACCUGCUCUCAAUCAUUCAUCAUGCCUCAGUCUUCAAGAACCCCGGUCUUCCUCCCAUUCAUCGCCAGAUUGUUUCAGCCUAUGUGGUGGGUCCCUUUGUGCAGUUUGGCUUCCUGUGUCUGCUCACCUGUGCCUCUGUGUCUCCGGUCUCUUCCGCCAUCUCACCCACCCGUUCCUGCUGUGGCCGCCCCUCAUCCCCCCUGUGUGUGUGUGUGUGUGCGUGGAAUAAAACCCCCUUUAAACCUUC
Molecule: long non-coding RNA, 330 nt
Organism: Dicentrarchus labrax (European seabass)
Lineage: Eukaryota; Metazoa; Chordata; Actinopteri; Moronidae
Exons: 2
Source: RefSeq, a predicted model, not a curated record